AUGAAGGUUAUCGUAUUGAUGUUAGUUUCAGCCCUGCCUUUGUUGUCGGGGCUCCGGGCGGCCGUGACCCUGCUGGAGUGCGGGGGGGACCUCCAGCCCCCCGGGGGGUCCCUGACGUUGCUGUGCCGAGGGUCCGGGUUCAGUUUUGGCGGAUUUGGGAUGGGCUGGAUGCGCCAGAGACCCGGGCAGGGGCUGGAAUUCGUCGCAGGGUUCAACACUGGUGGAGGCAUCGGCUACGCGGAUUCAGUCAGGGGCCGGGUCACGAUCUCCAGGGACAACGGGCAGAGCUCGGUGACGCUGACCAUGAACAACCUCAAGGACGAGGAUUCCGGAUCCUAUUUCUGUGCCAAAGCUGCUGCUGAUGCUCGGGGCCCACUCGGGGCCAUUUUGGCUCCUGGGCUGUCCCUGGCCGUGCUGACCCUGCCCCUGACCGAUGGAACCUUCCAGCUCCCAGAGAGGAUUCCAGCCCAGCCCCGAGGAGCAGCCCCAGACACCGCGGCCGUGAGGGAGCAGUGA
Molecule: non-coding RNA, 516 nt
Organism: Melospiza melodia melodia
Lineage: Eukaryota; Metazoa; Chordata; Aves; Passeriformes; Passerellidae
Source: the annotation of a RefSeq genome assembly